This 448-nucleotide ribosomal RNA is filed under the name uncultured bacterium. Its description in RNAcentral is "bacterial SSU rRNA". It matches the Rfam family "Bacterial small subunit ribosomal RNA", at positions 355 to 826 of the family's 1533-position model. The record is from RNAcentral.
UGGGGAAUUUUGGGCAAUGGGGGAAACCCUGACCCAGCAACGCCGCGUGAAGGAUGAAGUAUUUCGGUAUGUAAACUUCGAAAGAAUAGGAAGAAUAAAUGACGGUACUAUUUAUAAGGUCCGGCUAACUACGUGCCAGCAGCCGCGGUAAUACGUAGGGACCAAGCGUUGUUCGGAUUUACUGGGCGUAAAGGGCGCGUAGGCGGCAUGACAAGUCACUUGUGAAAUCUCUGGGCUUAACCCAGAACGGCCAAGUGAUACUGUCGCGCUAGAGUGCAGAAGGGGCAAUCGGAAUUCUUGGUGUAGCGGUGAAAUGCGUAGAUAUCAAGAGGAACACCUGAGGUGAAGACGGGUUGCUGGGCUGACACUGACGCUGAGGCGCGAAAGCCAGGGGAGCAAACGGGAUUAGAUACCCACGUAGUCCCUGAGCGGGCUGGCAAGGCGCAUA